This 3207-nucleotide long non-coding RNA is filed under the name Salmo salar (Atlantic salmon). Its description in RNAcentral is "lncRNA (ENSSSAG00000084671.1, ENSSSAG00000093357.1)". The record is from RNAcentral. Lineage: Eukaryota; Metazoa; Chordata; Actinopteri; Salmoniformes; Salmonidae.
CGUUUUUUUCCUAUGAAGUACAUUGUGUUGCAUUCCAUGUCUGAAAUGUGCUGUAUAAAUAAAGCUUGAUGUGAUUUGAUUUGAAAUCACAGGUAGGCCUUUUCAAAUAUGAGAAAAUCAUCCAUUCUAUGCAGUAUUCUGUUAUACACUGAACAGUGUGAAGUUGAAUUCAAUGGGUUGUAUUGAGUAGAAGUGUGAAUUUCAGUGACAGGUUUUUGGAGAGUGUUUAGAAAACGUGAGCAAGCGUCCGAGGAACAGGGCGAACAGGAUGCUAGGCCACAAAAAAAUGUUGACCAUGGUAUUGCGAAAACUACUCGGUAUCGUGAUACUUGGCCUGGUAUCGUAUUGUUUCUAGAAAUUGUACUCAUUUAAAUACACUUAUUCUGGUCUUAUAAUCUUUAAAGGAAUUAAAAUGGGGAGCCUCAUAACAGUGAUGAACGUACACAAUACUUGGGCGAUAUUACUAUUCCAUGCAAUUGCAUUCAGCUUUGGAAAUGAGAAGAUAUUGAGUCUUAUUUAGGCAAUCAAUAACAGUGAACAUUUUGUUUAAUGAAAACGAUCAUUUCAGCCUAUGGUAAUCACACUUUAGAGAGAUGUUUUGGUGUGAUGAUGAUUCUUGCAGUGGUAUGCACUUUUGUAAUAAAGAUAUUCUUAUCAAAAUCAUUAUUGACUUCGGGGGAGUUAUUACCCUGUUAAGAACCCUGUUAAAGAUCACUAGCUUUAUUCAUUACUUAUCGCAUGUACUCAUGAAUGAAUAUUGCUGAAUCAGAAUGGCUAUAGAUUCCGGGAAUGACCAUUAGAUAAUGGGGAAUAAUGAUAUCUGGACUCAGCUAAUUUGUGGAGUUAUCUCACCACCACUGCACCAAAAAACGUUUGACUUGACUUGCUGCAGCUGACAAGAAGUCAGUCUAAUUGUAAUUGGGGUAUUUACACUUCUGUCCAAAAUUCAAUAGAUACAUCAACAGUGAGUGGUUUGAAGUAGGGUUGGAUGAAAUUAACUAUAGCAGUAAAAAAUAUACUUUAUUUUAUUAGUGUUAGCACAGGGAAUUGCUGCUUUAAAAGCAAGGUUUGACUUCAUGAAGUUUAUUGUCGUAAUUAGAGAAAACCCGAAGCAUAUUAAUGUCACCCCUGGUGAAUAUAUUUAAUGUGUUUUGUAGCUACAUUUUAUCGGCUGAGGUUUUUAUUGGAGAUUAUAAUACCAAUAUUAUUUAUGGAAGCUUUGAUAGCAGGUCAAACUCAGAGCUGAUAUUCUGGCCAAACAACAUAUUAAUAUUACUAACUUCUCUCCCUUUCUCUCUCCCAGUCUCCUUAUGAAGAUAAGCAGAGUGUUUCAGUCUGUCCUGCUUCUUCAUCAUCUAGUGUGAAUGAUAAUAAAACACUAUGGCUAUGACUCAUAGUUGAGCUGAGUUUGAAAUAGAUUACAUCCCAGUCUGGCCACGCUUGUGAAAUACCUCUCAUGCCAUAUAUAUUGAUGACCAAAUUCAAUUACAUGAUUGCAUUCUCAGCCAAAACCUCUUCCCCUCAGUUUAAAUGAUUCAUUGCAUUGGAUUUAAAUAGUGAAUAGUUACAGUGGCAAGGUAGAGGUAAUAUUAGAAGGACCUCCGCUAGACAACAUAAAGAGUUAUUCGAAUCAGCAUGUUUGUCUGUCUGCAAAAUGGUGACACACAAUGUCCCUUGGGCAUGACAACAGACUGCUGCAAUAGACUGAUGCAAAGGACAGAACAGGGCAACCAUCUUAUUUUUUUAUUUAACCUUUAUUUAACUAGGCAAAUCAGUUAAGAACAAAUUCUUAUUUACAAUGACGGCCUAACUACUGAAGUAGUUUGUUCAUGUUUGAGAGCUUGAGCCGAUCACAGACUGAGCGGACUGACUGAUCUACAAAUAAUAACGAGCAGUUAUUUUGAAUCCAAGGUGAUUUGUAGAUCAGUCAUUAUGCAGACGCCGACUGCAAUGAAGUCGAUCUCAAACAUGAUCAUUGCGUUAAAUUGACAUGAGUUGUUUCCUGAUGGGUCUUUUGGAACACCUUCAGUUGAACAUACUGUCGAAUGUGUUCUCCUUAUCUAUAUUCAAUUUUUCUUUAGCCUAGAAACAAUGUAGAAAUAGUUAUGGUCCGCUGAAUGUUCAUGCAUGUUGAACAAAGGUGGAGUUGAAUGAGCUUGUGUAAUUGUCUGUUUUUAACAAUCGUUUGUUUUGAUUUAAUGAUAUUUGCUGAUUUAUCAGCCGGUCAGCUAAGCAUUUUUUUCUUAAUUAAUAUUGUUAGAAAUGCCAAUAGGACUAGGCAUGUUUUAUCAGUCGUCUUCCUCUUAAGAAUUUUGUGAUAAGAAAUCAAAUAGUUAUCGAUCUUGCCAUCGACCUCCACUAUUCUUUACCAAUGCAAUUCCUUUUCAUUUGUCUUGUCCUGUUUUCCUGGCUACUAUUCCCCUAGCUUCUUAGGUUCACUAUUUGUAAAGCUUCUCCUCUCAUGCAAGGUCAACUAUAAUCAACCCCAGACAAUGUCACUGGCUUCUGCAGCAACCAGGGUAUUCCUUUGGGGCUCUUAGGGCCCACUGCAUUCUACCAUUCAAUUACUGUUCAUUAGACAGUGUACAGCCAUUAAUCAAACUGAGAUGUUCUGCUAUUCUUCAAAGGGCCAUUGAACCAGGGAGGAAAAACACUGGCUGUUUAUCCUUGUUUCCUGUUCUGAGAUACUGUAGGAGCACAAAGAAGACACUCUGGGAUUCCCACUCGAUAUGUCUGUUUUAAACUUCUCCUCCACACUACAGCCUCGGAAUGUUAGAUUAAUAAACAGAGCGUGCUAGAGAUAUACCGUAGUAUUAGGAGUCAAAUAGAUAAUUUGGAGUAGUAACUUGACAGAUUUAGUGAAUGCUGCCCAUAUGCAUUGAAUCUGCCUGGAUAUGAUAUGAGGAACUGAUUUAUGUGCCUGUGUUCCAGGAGACUAAAGAGGAGGUGGAGGCGGUGUCGUCCUCAAAUCUGUGCGGAAUACGGUCACGGAUGUCCAAGUUCUUCAAGGAAAAAAGCAAAAAGUGACCAGCUUCCAGACCAAAAUGCCAUUUAUUCAGUCAGAGAAUUCUAAGAGCCAGAGUCAGAGAGUCCUGUAGUAACAGGAGCGGUCGAGGACAGCGUACCCCUUACGAGACCCACAUGUACGAGAUUAAAAAGUGUUAUAAACCAAAUAAAAAUGUUUGCGUCUUGACAGCCCCACCGUGG